CGAUUGACACGACUCUCGGCAAUGGAUAUCUCGGCUCUCGCAUCGAUGAAGAGCGCAGCGAAAUGCGAUAUGUGGUGCGAAUUGCAGAAUCCCGCGAACCAUCGAGUCUUUGAACGCAAGUUGCGCCUGAGGCCAACCGGCCAAGGGCACGUCUGCCUGGGCGUCAAG
This 168-nucleotide ribosomal RNA is filed under the name Dendrobium moschatum. RNAcentral's name for it is "5.8S ribosomal RNA". It matches the Rfam family "5.8S ribosomal RNA". Rfam says of the family: 5.8S ribosomal RNA (5.8S rRNA) is a component of the large subunit of the eukaryotic ribosome. The record is from RNAcentral. Lineage: Eukaryota; Viridiplantae; Streptophyta; Magnoliopsida; Asparagales; Orchidaceae.